UUACAGAUUAAGUAAAUAAAGCUGCCUUGUAUAUCAACUUGAUAAGACAUUAAAUAUUUGAACUGAGUUUUAAUCUACUAUCAAGUAAGAUUACCAUUUGCUGCUUGAAAAAAGAAAAAUAAAUCCUACAUUACACAACAAAAAAGAAAAAUACAGGAUCAACAAUGUUAAAGGCAGCAACAAACCAGACAGAUUUGAGAGUACAGAAGUUUGACACAAUUGAGACACAUCUGUAUGGAGAAGAAAUGCCACUGAAGCAGCUUGCAGAGCCAAAAAAGAUUGAGCAACUACCAUUCGAAAGUACUCGAUAUUAUGGAGCACCGAUUAUACUUCCACCACUCUACCUGACAGCUGGAUUCAAACAUUUUAAAGUUGCAACGAACAUCAAAUGAAAACCGUCAAACUGCAAGGAUAAAGAGCUGGACUAACAGCGACACAACUUCACAACACCACCAAAGUUGUGAAAAACUUUGUUUGUAUAUUGUAUAAUAAUAUAUCUGACAAACAGGAUAACUGACUUGAAUACUAUGAGAAAUCAUGACAAUGAAUGUUUUUCCCAACCCUUGACCCCUUAACAAUUCCUCUCUCUUUAUGCCCUAACAAUGCAAAGCCUUUGAUGAAUACUUUGGAAAGAACACGUAAAUGGAUGUUCAUCUUCAACAGAACAAUUUUAAAUUAUUUUCAAAGCGCAGCUGUCCUUAAAGUACUGGUAGCUAGCUAACUUUAGCCCAGCCUAUACAGUGCUUUUGGAAUCGUUUAUGCUUUAUUUAAGAACUCGAUGUGAGAUGGAACAUUCAUCCUUUUGUCAUCAUUCAAGCAAAUUGCAUGAACAAGAAUGUUAUCAUGUAUAGGCUAUUAUUAAUAACGAAUUAACAAAAACAAAUUUUUUUUUUUUUUUUUUGACACUCCAUAAUUACAUGGAUAGCGUAUGUUUUUAUAAAUAUUUUUGCGUAAAUAUUUCUAUCAUAGCAUGAUUGUGCUGCUUCAAGAUUUUUGCAUAAUUUCAAAAAUAAAAACUGAUAUUUACCAAAA
Molecule: long non-coding RNA, 1032 nt
Organism: Styela clava
Lineage: Eukaryota; Metazoa; Chordata; Ascidiacea; Stolidobranchia; Styelidae
Source: RefSeq, a predicted model, not a curated record